CGUGUAGGCGGAUUGAUAAGUUUGAAGUGAAAUCCUAUAUCUUAACUAUAGAACUGCUUUGAAAACUGUUAAUCUAGAAUGUGGGAGAGGUAGAUGGAAUUUCUGGUGUAGGGGUAAAAUCCGUAGAGAUCAGAAGGAAUACCGAUUGCGAAGGCGAUCUACUGGAACAAUAUUGACGCUGAGACGCGAAAGCGUGGGGAGCAAACA
RNAcentral lists this ribosomal RNA (207 nucleotides) under uncultured bacterium. Its description in RNAcentral is "partial 16S ribosomal RNA". It matches the Rfam family "Bacterial small subunit ribosomal RNA", at positions 568 to 774 of the family's 1533-position model. The record is from RNAcentral.